Molecule: ribosomal RNA, 86 nt
Filed under: uncultured bacterium
Lineage: Bacteria
Description: partial 16S ribosomal RNA
Source: RNAcentral
ACCAUGGGAGUCGAUUGCUCCAGAAGUGGCUGCGCCAACCUCGCAAGAGGAGGCAGGUCCCCAAGGAGUGCUCGGUAACUGGGGUG